This 362-nucleotide long non-coding RNA is filed under the name Papio anubis (olive baboon). RNAcentral's name for it is "lncRNA (ENSPANG00000039771.1)". The record is from RNAcentral. Lineage: Eukaryota; Metazoa; Chordata; Mammalia; Primates; Cercopithecidae.
AGGCAAUUUGAUAUCAUAAUAGAGCACUGCAGACACAAUGCUGAGUGAAGAGGAGUAGAAAUGGGAAGACUUGGUUGAGCAGAAACUGAAUUCUUGAAAAGAGGAGAUGCUCGAUGAGGGCAUAGCUCACUAAGGUCUGUUCCCAAUACGAGAAGACUAUUUGACAUCAUAAUAAAACACUGCAGAUAUGAUGCUGAGUGAAAAAGAGUAGAAAUGGGAAGACUUGGUUGUGCAGAAACUGAGUUCUUAAAGAGAGGAGAUACUUUAUGAGGGUGAGUGGAUAACCUCUCAGUUUAAUAGCCAAUGGAAACCAAAAGCAAAUGACUAAGAGUGGAGUAUGUUUACACAAAUUGAGCAAAAUG